UACAGAGGGUGCAAGCGUUGUUCGGAAUUAUUGGGCGUAAAGCGCGUGUAGGCGGCUUUGCAAGUCGGGUGUGAAAGCCCUCAGCUCAACUGAGGAAGUGCGCCCGAAACUGCAGAGCUUGAGUCCUGAAGAGGGUGGCGGAAUGCCCAGUGUAGAGGUGAAAUUCGCAGAGAUUGGGUAGAACACCGGUGGCGAAGGCGGCCACCUGGGAAGGUACUGACGCUGAGACGCGAAAGCGUGGGGAGCAAACAGG
Molecule: ribosomal RNA, 253 nt
Filed under: uncultured bacterium
Lineage: Bacteria
Description: partial 16S ribosomal RNA
Rfam family: Bacterial small subunit ribosomal RNA
Source: RNAcentral